GCUUACGACCACACCGGCCUGAGUACGCCUGAUCUCGUCUGAUCUCGGAAGCUAAGCAGGUCGGGCCUGGUUAGUACUGGAUGGGAGACCGCCUGGGAAUACCAGGUGCUGUAAGAU
This 117-nucleotide ribosomal RNA is filed under the name Oncorhynchus kisutch (coho salmon). Lineage: Eukaryota; Metazoa; Chordata; Actinopteri; Salmoniformes; Salmonidae. The record is from RNAcentral.